CACAAGCUCCUCAGGGGACUCACAUGGGUAGCAAAGCAGAAGAAUCGCUGCCUUGUAGAGCAGCACUGAGGAGUAAAUUCGAUGGCGAGGGCUUGCCAUGUGCUGCUCGCAAACCACUGCAAUUCAACUUAAAUAAAGCAGCUAUUCAAGGGAGAGGUUUGAAUGGGAGAUGGGGAGGUGUGGGCCCAACCCCAGGAAGAAGAGACUGGAGGAUGACUGCUCUGAAGCAACAGUUUCCAUGGGUCAGGAGUACAGACAUAGGUUACCUGAGUCCUCUGCUCAGGGUCUCGCCAGGCCACAAUCAAGGUGUGAGCUGGGCUGUGGUCUCAUCUGAGGCUCAGGAUAUCAGCAGAAUUCAGUUCCUUGUGGUGGUAGGACUGAAGUCCCACUCUCUUGCUGGCUGUCAGGUGGUGGCCACUCAAAGAUCCCAGAAAUUGCCCACAAUUCUUUGCCACAUGGUCCCCUCCACAGGUUCCCUCAUGCUUCUGAUCACUCUGAC
RNAcentral lists this long non-coding RNA (499 nucleotides) under Equus caballus (horse). RNAcentral's name for it is "lncRNA (ENSECAG00000034583.2)". The record is from RNAcentral. Lineage: Eukaryota; Metazoa; Chordata; Mammalia; Perissodactyla; Equidae.